RNAcentral lists this unclassified non-coding RNA (351 nucleotides) under soil metagenome. RNAcentral's name for it is "partial contains 5.8S ribosomal RNA, internal transcribed spacer 2, and large subunit ribosomal RNA". The stretch from base 1 to 120 matches the Rfam family "5.8S ribosomal RNA", at positions 35 to 154 of the family's 154-position model. The record is from RNAcentral.
GAUGAAGAACGCAGCGAAAUGCGAUAAGUAAUGUGAAUUGCAGAAUUCAGUGAAUCAUCGAAUCUUUGAACGCACAUUGCGCCCGCGAGUAUUCUCGCGGGCAUGCCUGUCCGAGCGUCAUUUCAACCCUCAGGGCCCGCCUGCUUGCAGGCGCGGCGCUGGUGUUGGGGAUCGGCUACCCUGCCGUCCCCCAAAUACAGUGGCGGUCUCGCUGCAGCCUCCCCUGCGUAGUAGCAACACUCGCAUGCGGAGCGCGGCGCGGCCACGCCGUAAAACCCCCGACUUUCUGAACGUUGACCUCGGAUCAGGUAGGAAUACCCGCUGAACUUAAUCAUAUCAAUAAGCGGAGGA